Molecule: long non-coding RNA, 555 nt
Filed under: Coccomyxa subellipsoidea
Lineage: Eukaryota; Viridiplantae; Chlorophyta; Trebouxiophyceae; Coccomyxaceae
Description: long non-coding RNA (CSUB_LNC000210)
Source: RNAcentral
CUAAAUACUUUCAUGCUGUGCGCUUAAUCUUAUAUUCCGUGCGCCUGAGAGGGACACUCGAUCUUGAUUGUGGCGCGCGUCCCUUUACGUGAUAUCAGUGUGUGAGCUACAAACGACAAGGGGAAAUCACGCGUUUGUGCAAACAAUUGUGAGCAGGCCGUCUUUCGUUUUGUUCCAUCGCAGCACACUCUGAGGUCCCUAUAUCCUGACAGGUGCCUAGCAUUCACAACAGAUGAAGUUGUAUCGUUGUGUGCCCAGCAGUUCUCUUGCUCGUGUUUUUCGUUUGAUAGUCAUCUGUCGGCUGCUUUUCUUGCAGGUCGUUUAGGAUCGUGACUUGGCCCUGACAGGGAUGCAGCCCCCUCACAGUUGGGAGGCCACUGUCGAGGAGUUUCUGGUAUUGCAAUCCAUAUUGCCACACUUCCAGUGCUGGCUGGACGACACUGAGUUGCAACUGAGCCCAGAAGAGGCAGAUGAGCUCAUACAGAAGGGGUGCCAGGGGCGCCGGCUCAGCUGUAUGGCCUCUGUGCAUGUGUCUCUGCCAGAAGAUGGCCUCGC